AGGAUGUCCAGAGGCUGACAGUGGGAAGACGGGUGUGGACAGGGAGUUGUGAUGGAGUUUUCCAGGAUGUCCAGAGGCUGACAGUGGGAAGACAGGUGUGGACGGGGAGUUGGGAGGGAGGUGAGGAGCUCUCUGCUGUCUGUAUUUCUUCCUCUGUGGCGUCUCUCUGCUCGUCUCUCUCUCAGUCCAGCUGCAUGUGGUCUGUGAAACAGCAGCUUCGCAGUGCUGAGCUGGGAUUAGGACCGGUGGGUUGCAGAGUUCAGGGUUCGAUUCCAGAGGGGGACACAGCUCUUGUAUCCCAGAGACAGGUGCUUCAGUUACUGUUCUGAUGUUUUAUUAUAGAGGUGUGUAGUGUUGACAAUAGUGUGCUGACGUCUCAUGAAGGCUGUACCUUAACACUGGCACUCGGUGACACACUGUGUGCUAAAUGCUCACCUGUACUGUGCUUUAGUACUUGAACCUGUGUACAGUUGUAAUACUCAGACCAGUGAACUGAACUCAUGCCUGUACUGAGCUUUAAUACUCAACACACCUGUGCGCUGAACUAAAACCUUUAUUCUGCUUCAGUACUCAACCCUGUGUGCUCAGCUCUCACCUGUACUGUAGUUUAAUACUCAGACACACCUGUGUACUGAUUCUUCAACUGUACUAACUGUAUUGAGCUGCAAUGAUGACACUGACACACCUGUGUGAAGAACUCUAAUAUGUACAGUUGUAACACUCAAAUUGUGUACUGAACUCUGUAUGUUGUACUAUAAUACUCCUUGACACACCUGUGUGCUGUACUCUCAACUGUACUGAGUUUUAAUACUCAAUGACAAGCCAGUAUUCUGAACUCUUGUAGUGUACUGUAAUACUCACAACUGGACUGAACUCGCCUGUAGUGAACUUGAACUCUCUCCUACACUGAGCUUUAAUACUCUGACACACCUGUGUGCUGAACUGUAUUGUUUUAGUAUUUGAACCUGAGUGCUGAACUGUUGCCUGUGGUGUUGUAGUACUCAAACUUGUGUACUGAACUCUCGGCUGUAUUGAGCUUUAAUACUUUUUGACACACCUGUGUGACGAACUCUAAUAUGUACAGUUGUAUUACUCAGACCUGUGUACUGAACUCUGAAUGCUGUGCUAUAAUACUCCAUGACACAUCUGUGUACU
This 1155-nucleotide long non-coding RNA is filed under the name Lepisosteus oculatus (spotted gar). RNAcentral describes it as "lncRNA (ENSLOCG00000022370.1)". The record is from RNAcentral. Lineage: Eukaryota; Metazoa; Chordata; Actinopteri; Semionotiformes; Lepisosteidae.